AAUGACCGUCAUGUCACAAUAUUUUGCUUUUAGCCAUCUUGUCUGCCUGGAUUGCCUUCACUCCGCAGUCCUGGCCCACGCACACUUAUUCGUCCCAACCCCGCAGGCGCCUGAGCACCCAUCCCAGGGCUCCGCAAUUGCUGCCCAUCGCCGCCAAUGCCUUCGGACCGCUCAUUGCAGAAGCCCCCUCGCCGCUUCCGCCGGUACGGCUGUACGGAACUCCGUACCAUGUAUUUUAUUUACUUUCCUGCCGUUGUCAGUGAUGGUCAGUUGUCAUAUACAUGUACAGUACGCUGUUCAGUGACAGCCGGGACGGCAGGAUGAUGUGCACGAUGUCAAUCUUGGGGGCAGCUUUGUUUGUCUCCACUCCAGCAGCAGCCGGGGUACCGAGGACGUGGGGUGGCAGACUGCACCACCUUGGCAGCAGCCGUUUGAGCAGAGAGCCAUGUGUUUCGUGACACACAGUGCUUGCUUGGGACCACCAGUAAUGCACGUGUUUGGGACCACCUGGGGCUGUUCAGGGAUUCGGGAGGUGUGAAAACAUUCCAGCUAGCUAGCAGGGGCAGGCGGGUAAUCCACGGCCAUUUCCGGUCUCUCCUCAAUCCUCUCCAUCCACGUAACGCGAACUCACGCUCCGCUCCCUUUUCCAUGCCUCGCUGUCCCCGACACGCAUAUUGCUUCCUCAUGGGGACGGUUUACCGCACUAUCAUACCGCACUAUCAUCAUACCGCACUAUCAUACCACACUAUCAUACCACUCUCUCUCUUCCCCCGCGCGCCACACACGCACACAAACACACACCUUCCCGGUCCUCGCUCCGCCAUGACUCCACGUCACGUCGGUACGGCAACAACACGGGACUACACACAACGACAACAACUGCUUGGGGGCUCCAGACGCCCAUUUUGGACGCCAAGCUGUGAGUUACCCGGCCGAGUAGUUAGUUUCUAACUGCGUUUUUUGAGUGGCAGCUGUAUGGACCGGUGUUGCCUCAGCGCUUUCCAUGGGACUGCCUUCGCAGCUGACCCCUCGAUACACGUAUUAGCUGUGUACAGGCUUCUCGGAUGGUGGGGGGGGGGGUGCGAGGUAGAUGAGGUGAAUACACCUCGACCAUAAAUCAUAGAUACCAUCCUAAAACCCUUUGAGAAGAUAUGGUUACCAUAAAUACCAUCCUAAAACCCUGAGAUCCCUAAGUACUUAUAAUCCUAUCCUCGCGGCCUGUCAGGUAUUUAAGGUUUCUUGGGUACGUGUGACUCUGUGUGCAUGACUCGUCAUCAUGACCCUCGCGGACUCCCCAAAGUCCCCAAAGUCCCCAAAGCGACCGUCGCCAACGAGGGGCGACAAUCCCUUUUGGUUUCCCUCUCUUUUGGGGAGGAAAGAGGACCUCUCUCAGCUCUCUUGGCCCUGGUGUACCACUCAUGCAGGGCUAUGCAUCAGAACAGGGAU
This 1446-nucleotide long non-coding RNA is filed under the name Volvox carteri. Its description in RNAcentral is "long non-coding RNA (VCAR_LNC000542)". Lineage: Eukaryota; Viridiplantae; Chlorophyta; Chlorophyceae; Chlamydomonadales; Volvocaceae. The record is from RNAcentral.